UACGGGGGGAGCAAGCGUUGUUCGGAUUUACUGGGCGUAAAGGGCGCGUAGGCGGCCAGCACAAGUCAGUUGUGAAAUCUCCGAGCUUAACUCGGAAAGGUCAACUGAUACUGUGCGGCUAGAGUGCGGAAGGGGCAACUGGAAUUCUUGGUGUAGCGGUGAAAUGCGUAGAUAUCAAGCAGAACACCUGCGGCGAAGGCGGCCUUCUGGACGAUGACUGACGCUGAGACGCGAAAGCGUGGGGAGCAAACAGG
RNAcentral lists this ribosomal RNA (254 nucleotides) under uncultured bacterium. RNAcentral's name for it is "partial 16S ribosomal RNA". It matches the Rfam family "Bacterial small subunit ribosomal RNA", at positions 524 to 776 of the family's 1533-position model. The record is from RNAcentral.